UUUCCCUUAGGAUAGUUGGAGCUUGCUGACGAGUUCUAUCAGGUAAAGCCAAUGAUUAGAGGCAUUGGGAGCGUAAUGCCCUCGACCUAUUCUCAAAUUUUAAAUAGGUAGGACGGCGUGUUUGCUCUAGUGAGCCGCGCCACGGAAUCAUGAACUCCAAGUGGGCCAUUUUUGGUAAACAGAACUACUAAUGCAGGACAAACUG
This is a non-coding RNA of Glycine soja, 205 nucleotides long. The record is from Rfam. Lineage: Eukaryota; Viridiplantae; Streptophyta; Magnoliopsida; Fabales; Fabaceae.